Molecule: ribosomal RNA, 305 nt
Filed under: uncultured bacterium
Lineage: Bacteria
Description: bacterial SSU rRNA
Rfam family: Bacterial small subunit ribosomal RNA
Source: RNAcentral
CUGAACCUACGGGGGGCAGCAGUGAGGAAUAUUGGUCAAUGGGCUUACGCCUGAACCAGCCAAGUCGCGUGAGGGAAGACUGCCCUAUGGGCUGUAAACCUCUUUUGUCAGGGAGCAACGCCGGCUACGUGUAGCCGGACUGAGAGUACCUGAAGAAAAAGCAUCGGCUAACUCCGUGCCAGCAGCCGCGGUAAUACGGAGGAUGCGAGCGUUAUCCGGAUUUACUGGGUGUAAAGGGCGUGUAGGCGGGAAAGCAAGUCAGAUGUGAAAACCAUGGGCUCAACCUGUGGCCUGCAUUUGAAACU